RNAcentral lists this ribosomal RNA (580 nucleotides) under Schwanniomyces pseudopolymorphus. RNAcentral describes it as "eukaryotic LSU rRNA". It matches the Rfam family "Eukaryotic large subunit ribosomal RNA", at positions 62 to 656 of the family's 3401-position model. Lineage: Eukaryota; Fungi; Ascomycota; Pichiomycetes; Serinales; Debaryomycetaceae. The record is from RNAcentral.
AAACCAACAGGGAUUGCCUCAGUAACGGCGAGUGAAGCGGCAAAAGCUCAAAUUUGAAAUCUGGCACCUUCGGUGUCCGAGUUGUAAUUUGAAGAAGGUAACUUUGGAGUUGGCUCUUGUCUAUGUUCCUUGGAACAGGACGUCACAGAGGGUGAGAAUCCCGUGCGAUGAGAUGUCCAACUCUAUGUAAAGUGCUUUCGAAGAGUCGAGUUGUUUGGGAAUGCAGCUCUAAGUGGGUUGGUAAAUUCCAUCUAAAGCUAAAUAUUGGCGAGAGACCGAUAGCGAACAAGUACAGUGAUGGAAAGAUGAAAAGAACUUUGAAAAGAGAGUGAAAAAGUACGUGAAAUUGUUGAAAGGGAAGGGCUUGAGAUCAGACUUGGUAUUUUGCAAGCCUUACCUUCGUGGUGGGGUCCCCUGCAGUUUACUGGGCCAGCAUCGGUUUGGAUGGUAGGAUAAUGACUUGGGAAUGUGGCUUUGCUUCGGUAAAGUGUUAUAGCCCUUGUUGAUACUACCUGUCUAGACCGAGGACUGCGUCUCUUUACUAGGAUGCUGGCAUAAUGAUCUUAAGUCGCCCGUCUUG